GUCCAGAUGGAGAGUCCCAAAUAGGACGAAAUGCGCAUCCUGGAU
This 45-nucleotide non-coding RNA is filed under the name Trichobilharzia regenti. The record is from RNAcentral. Lineage: Eukaryota; Metazoa; Platyhelminthes; Trematoda; Strigeidida; Schistosomatidae.